GGGGACCAGGACCGGAAGAUGUUGCCACAAAACGGAGGUGAGCGUCAGGCCCGUGACCCGCUGCUUAGUAUGUGGCAAUGAUGCUGUUCCUUUCUGAUGACAGUGAAGACGUCCCCCCGAGUCGCGUCCUCCCAUCUGAGACACGAGCCCGGAUAUUCCUCCCAAACAGAGCCUUCACGCAGCUGCCUGUUAGCCACCAAGCCCUGGGCUGUGGUGUGGAGGCGUCUUGACCCGGCUGAGAAAAAUCUACCUUAUGGAAUCUCAACAAGGAGGACACCUAAGGGUGAUGGAAAAUGACCCCACUGUAGUUAUUCUGGGUUUUAGGUGCUAAUAUCUGAGCCCCCUGUAGCACCGGCCUUCAGUAAACUCAUGUUUCAGCACCUGGUGAGUGGGGCUGAGCUCUGCCCCAAGUGACAAGCUCC
Molecule: long non-coding RNA, 422 nt
Organism: Herpailurus yagouaroundi (jaguarundi)
Lineage: Eukaryota; Metazoa; Chordata; Mammalia; Carnivora; Felidae
Exons: 2
Source: RefSeq, a predicted model, not a curated record